CGGGGCCGGUAAAUUCCACGGAAAUUUGGGGAGAACGCCCCACGGGCCACGGCGGCACGGCCCGCGGGAGGAAAAGUCCACGCGAUGCACCGCCGUGUUCAUACACUGGCACUGCAGAGGCUGGCUGGGGCUGGUUGCCUUUUCGGUGACAGAGAGCGAGACGGGCAGACGCUGCAUCACAGAGAGGACAGAACAUACCGUCAGAGAAGCAGCGCGUUCCUGCAGCUGCGGAGUACGAUCGUACUCCAGCUUCGCUGCAAGUCCAGUCCAAGCAAUGACGUGAAGCAUCAUCGACC
This 296-nucleotide long non-coding RNA is filed under the name Setaria italica (foxtail millet). Its description in RNAcentral is "long non-coding RNA (SITA_LNC004033)". Lineage: Eukaryota; Viridiplantae; Streptophyta; Magnoliopsida; Poales; Poaceae. The record is from RNAcentral.